CCCACAGGAAAUUCGACUGCCCAGAAAUGAUGCUGUACUUGGCACUGUCUUCCUCGCAUAUUAUCUUCUGUUCCUCACCAGAGAAAUCCCUGGCACUCUCUGGAAUUCCACUUAGAAAAGGAACUUGAGGUCCAGUGAUAAAUAACAUGACCCGGCUCACAAAGCUAUUACAUCACACAAUCACCUGCCCUGGCAAGACUCCCCUCCUCCCAGCGGCAGUUGAACAAGAUGCCUCUCUCAGCAUAUUUGC
Non-coding RNA from Manis javanica (Malayan pangolin), 250 nucleotides. The record is from RefSeq and is a predicted model, not a curated record. NCBI's taxonomy places the organism in Eukaryota, Metazoa, Chordata, Mammalia, Pholidota, Manidae.